UACGAGUGGUGCAAGCGUCAUUCGGAAUCAUUGGGCGUAAAGGGUGUGUAGGCGGCAAAUCAAGUCUGUUGUUAAAUUUCUCGGCCUAACCGGGAUAAUGCGGUGGAUACUGAUUUGAUAGAGGAUGGAAGAGAGAAGUGGAAUUCUCGGAGUAGCGGUAAAAUGCGUAGAUAUCGAGAGGAACACCGAUGGCGAAGGCAGCUUCUUGGUCCAUAACUGACGCUGAAACACGAAAGCGUGGGGAGCGAACAGG
RNAcentral lists this ribosomal RNA (253 nucleotides) under uncultured bacterium. Its description in RNAcentral is "partial 16S ribosomal RNA". It matches the Rfam family "Bacterial small subunit ribosomal RNA", at positions 524 to 776 of the family's 1533-position model. The record is from RNAcentral.